GUAACGGUCCAAAACUAUAGUUUAAUUUAGCCCUUGUUAUUUAUAUGUUUAUAACGCCCUCUAGUGUUUUAAAUAAAGGUGGAACUUAUGUUCUAAAUAUAGUUCCGCCCGACCUCAAUUCGGCGCGUACAAAGCCCAAACAGCGCCAACGGCAGCCACGAUUUUCCUGACUUCAGGUAAAAUAAUAAGUGUUUAAUAAAAUGUGAAAUAAUAAUAAAGCCCAGAUAUUUAUUUCUAUUCUUUGUUUAAACAGCCACUGAGAAAAAGCAGUGCAUUUUUUGAGUCUUAGAUGAACAUUUUAGCCCCUCGUUGGAAGACAGCUCACGAGAUGCCACGCCUGAAGUCCUACAAGCGUUCCCAGGCAACCAAGCGGAGGUUUGCUGCCCUUCAACAGUCCAGUGAUGACUCUGCAUGUAAGUUACUCGGGAUACCGUAGCUGUAAAAAUACUUUUAGAUUAGUUAUCUUAUCAUGAAUAACAAUAUUUAAGGGUGUAAAAAUGUAUCCAUCA
This 509-nucleotide long non-coding RNA is filed under the name Gouania willdenowi (blunt-snouted clingfish). RNAcentral describes it as "lncRNA (ENSGWIG00000023205.1)". Lineage: Eukaryota; Metazoa; Chordata; Actinopteri; Blenniiformes; Gobiesocidae. The record is from RNAcentral.